This 31-nucleotide non-coding RNA is filed under the name Rattus norvegicus (Norway rat). Lineage: Eukaryota; Metazoa; Chordata; Mammalia; Rodentia; Muridae. The record is from RNAcentral.
UGGCAAAUGGAAGAAACGUCUGAAUGCCUCU